Long non-coding RNA from Eucalyptus grandis, 978 nucleotides. RefSeq lists it as uncharacterized. The transcript is spliced from 3 exons. The record is from RefSeq and is a predicted model, not a curated record. NCBI's taxonomy places the organism in Eukaryota, Viridiplantae, Streptophyta, Magnoliopsida, Myrtales, Myrtaceae.
GGAACCGGAACCGGAACCGGUCGUGGAACCGGUUUUGGAACCGGUUAGGGUUCCAAAAGGAACCCCACUCCCCCGAGACUCCCGACCCCCUCACUUUCCAUUUUUCAGAGUCUCGCCGGACGCCGCUCUGAGUCUCGCCGCCGGACGCCGCUCGCCCUCAAGGCCACCACCGCUAGACGCCAAUCAUCGACGUCGCUCGCGCGAACCCUCGCCGCUCGACGCCCGUCGCUGCCGUGCUCUACCUCGAUGCCCGUCGCCAACUACCCGAUGCAGGCAGAUCUAAGCCGAGCUCAUCUCCGCUCGCGACCCACCGCCUUUGCUCGCGCCAGAAGCCCCGACGAGCAGAAGCCCCGACGACGCCGAUUCUGCUGUCUCCACUCGCGACCCACCGCCUCUGGUCACUAGGUCUCCGAUUCUGACCCACAACGCCGCUGCUGCUGUCUCCGCCUCUGCUCCGACGACCCGACGCCAGCAGUCGCGACGCCUGAUGCCGUUGCCCCGAAGACCAGCGACCGACGUCCCUGCUCGCUGCUCAGUGCCGGACGCCGCUCGCCCGGUAAAAUUGGAUUUCUGGACCUUCUCUCCAAGGCUUGGCUUUGAAUUCGGAGACGAAUGAGCACGUGGCCAUAAAGAAGAUUGCUAAUGCUUUCUAUAACAAGAUCGAUGCGAAGAGGACCCUCCAUGAGAUCAAGCUCCUCCGGCACAUGGACCAUGAAAACGUUGUGGCAAUUAGAGAUAUUAUUCCACCGCCACAGAGAGAGGUUUUCAAUGAUGUUUAUAUUGCAUAUGAGCUUAUGGACACUGAUCUGCAUCAAAUUAGUCGUUCCAACCGAGUAUUGUCUGAGGAGCAUUGUCAGGUUUCAUUUUGCCAUUUAUUGUACGAUAUUGGCGCUUCCUUCUAGAUGGGAUAUUGCUUUCUUGUUAGUUGCUGGUUCUUAAUUAUGCUAGUCGGAGUUGCCAUCCGCUGCUUUCUUGUCA